ACUUUGGAAGACAUAAGCAUGGACAGAAAGCCAUGGGCAUCCUUCACCUGAAAAACAAAGAAACUGAGCACUUGAGAUAUGUGAAGGGUCUUGGCCAGAUAGUCUGGUCACCCAUGCUGGAAAAGAGGCUUGUCCAGUGCUGGAGUGUGUUCUGGCUGGGGACUUUGUGUCACACAAUGAGGACUGAAACAUGCUCCUGCAACCCGGGCACGUCUUUCACUUUCUGGCUAGUCCCACGAGAGGCAUGUCUCCUCUCUGGGAGCUUCAGGGAGGCAGUCAUCGCAACAUCUUUUCCCAGCAUAUUUCAGAACAACACAAGUUCAGACAUCAGACAACAAUGAGCACUACAGUCGACUGCAAAUGCUAAUAAUGACUAGUCACAGGGGCAGAGCACAGCUGUGGAGGAGGUUGCCUUGCACUAGUGGCUCUGAUGGGCUUGUCUAUGCUGGAAACCGUGAGGCGAAUUCAUGAAGACAAAGAGUUUCAUGUUUAACACAGUGUCAGUUGGUUGUGGUUAACCCUACAAUGAUCCCAUUAUCGUAUUUGCGUAGUUGAAGUAUCAGUGUAUGAUUCCAUUUGAUUUAUUUUAAUUUUACUUCUGUACUAAGUUUUUCCUGUGCUUUUAGCUUGUGGCCAUUUUAACUGCACUGGACAAUCUAUCUCCGGUAUAUUUCAACUUGAUCAGGAUUAGAGCUGGGCAGGAAACUAUUUUCCUGUGCUGUGAAAAUUUUAGAUUUGAAAAAAAACCUUUGUCUUGAAUUAGCAUAAGAAGUAAAAAUCUCAAAAUUUUGUGGACCAAGAUUCUGGAAAAAUAUUGGGUUCAGAUCAAUCAAAAUGUUUUGUUUCAA
Molecule: long non-coding RNA, 848 nt
Organism: Chelonia mydas (Green sea turtle)
Lineage: Eukaryota; Metazoa; Chordata; Testudines; Cheloniidae
Exons: 4
Source: RefSeq, a predicted model, not a curated record